UGUAAGCGUAUACCAAAGUUGUUGCAGUUAAAACGCUCGUAGUCGGAAUUUGGCAGUUCCGGAAGUGCGCACGUCGUGUGCGCACUUUGCGGGGACUGCUUUUGUGGUCUUGCGUAGGAUGAGGCACUUUCAUUAGUGAACGUCCUCACGCAACCACUCUUUACUGUGAGAAAAUCAGAGUGCUCAAAGCAGGCAUUUGCCGUGAAUGUAUUAGCAUGGAAUAAUAGAAUAGGACUCGGUUCUAUUUUGUUGGUUUGUUGGGACUGAGUAAUGAUUAAGAGGGACAGUUGGGGGCAUUUGUAUUCCGGCGCUAGAGGUGAAAUUCUUAGAUUGCCGGAAGACAAACUGCUGCGAAAGCGUCUGCCAAGGAUGUUUUCAUUGA
Molecule: ribosomal RNA, 382 nt
Filed under: uncultured eukaryote
Lineage: Eukaryota
Description: partial 18S ribosomal RNA
Rfam family: Eukaryotic small subunit ribosomal RNA
Source: RNAcentral